UCUCUCUCCCUUUUUGUCAUUAUCAAAAAGUAGGGAUAAUUUUGCAGGAUAUAUAAUUCAAUCACAAUCAAUUCAAUGUACUGACAUAUCUCAUCCAAAUCUUCAAACAUUUACACUACAAGGAUAUAUAUUGAUUGGAAGAAAAGUAAAGCUUAAUAUUGACAAACAUAAAAAAGAUUUACAUCAAAAAAUGUCUAUCCUUUACAAAAAGUGAUAUAACUAGGAUCAGAUAGAA
Molecule: long non-coding RNA, 235 nt
Filed under: Elaeis guineensis (African oil palm)
Lineage: Eukaryota; Viridiplantae; Streptophyta; Magnoliopsida; Arecales; Arecaceae
Description: long non-coding RNA (EGUI_LNC002296)
Source: RNAcentral